UCAAUAUUAUCAAAACAACAAUCAAGAUAUUACAUUAUUUGUCUGCAUUGUUGUUUUCUAUUUUGAAAAAUAUCGACUUUGAAUUAAAAAACCGAAUUUAAUAAUUAAAUUUAAAUAAGUAAACUCAUAAUGAUUCCACCAAGCGACCCGAAGAUAAAACUCUGUACAGGUAUAUGUGACAUAUUUACAGUACAAAAGUUUUCUUAUAUCCAUCUGCUCUAAGAGGUCACAGGAGCACUCACACCGGAGAGAGGCCAUUUUCGUGUAAUUUUUUGCAACGGCACAUUCAUAUCAAAAGGUAACUUAAACAGACACAUGAGAAAAAUUCAUCCGGGAGAGAAAACUCCAUCUUGCUUCGAGGAAAGUACACAAGACGGUCAACGAGAGCAGAAAGAAUUGCUUGAACAACCAUCAACAAGUUUUCAAAGACCACAGUCAAUAGAAUUUGAAGAAAUUUCUUUAGAAGAGAAUCUUUUUACUUCAAAAAAAGUGAAAAAUUUUUUGAAAAUGUUAACGUCGAUUUAGAAAUUAUUCAAUUGGAAUUAUUGUCGCAACUGGAAUUCUUCCCAGAAAUAGACGUUGAACAAACUAAAUUGGAAUGUCCGUUCUGUGGUAAACAAUUUUUAGACGAAGUUUCACUAAAAGAACACGAAAGAAACUCUCAUCCAUCUGAUUAAUUAAUUCUGGACAACUAAUUUUCAAAAUAUAUUAAAUUAAUAAGAUAUCAAAUUAUUAAUAUUUCGAUAUUUAAUAACGAAAGCAAAAUUGAAUAUUCAGUGCAACUACUUCAUUUACAGUUGGCAUUAAAUGUGAAAUUAUCAGAAAAAAAAACGAAUUUAAUUUACAGCGAAAAUUAUUUAAUAUAAAGUUCAUAAAAUUUGAAGGAAACAAAAUUUCGAAAGUUACUCUUGCUUAUUUAUAGCUUCACGAAAACUAGAAGACUUGAACAUGGA
This is a long non-coding RNA of Centruroides sculpturatus (bark scorpion), 953 nucleotides long. RefSeq lists it as uncharacterized. The record is from RefSeq and is a predicted model, not a curated record. NCBI's taxonomy places the organism in Eukaryota, Metazoa, Arthropoda, Arachnida, Scorpiones, Buthidae. The transcript is spliced from 3 exons.